This 274-nucleotide ribosomal RNA is filed under the name uncultured bacterium. RNAcentral describes it as "partial 16S ribosomal RNA". It matches the Rfam family "Bacterial small subunit ribosomal RNA", at positions 523 to 796 of the family's 1533-position model. The record is from RNAcentral.
AUACGGAGGGUGCAAGCGUUAUCCGGAAUCACUGGGUUUAAAGGGUGCGUAGGUGGCUUGAUAAGUCAGAGGUGAAAUCUUGCAGCUUAACUGUAAAAUUGCCUUUGAAACUGUUGAGCUUGAAUUAGGUUGAGGUUGGCGGAAUGUGACAUGUAGCGGUGAAAUGCAUAGAUAUGUCAUAGAACACCAAUUGCGAAGGCAGCUGACUAGACCUUAAUUGACGCUGAGGCACGAAAGCGUGGGGAGCGAACAGGAUUAGAAACCCUAGUAGUCC